UGUUUGUAUAGUGUGUGUAUAUAAUGCAGUGUGUUUGUGUAGUGUGCAUUAUAUAAACACACUACACAAACACACUGCAUUAUAUACACACACUACACAAAC
This 102-nucleotide microRNA precursor is filed under the name Pelobates cultripes (western spadefoot toad). The record is from RNAcentral. Lineage: Eukaryota; Metazoa; Chordata; Amphibia; Anura; Pelobatidae.